RNAcentral lists this ribosomal RNA (253 nucleotides) under uncultured bacterium. RNAcentral describes it as "partial 16S ribosomal RNA". It matches the Rfam family "Bacterial small subunit ribosomal RNA", at positions 524 to 776 of the family's 1533-position model. The record is from RNAcentral.
UACGGAGGAUGCAAGCGUUAUCCGGAAUCACUGGGCGUAAAGCGUCUGUAGGUUGCUCAGUAAGUCUGCUGUUAAAGAUUGGGGCUCAACCCCAAAGCAGCAGUGGAAACUGCUAGGCUAGAGUAUGGUAAGGGUAAAGGGAAUUCCCAGUGUAGCGGUGAAAUGCGUAGAUAUUGGGAAGAACACCAGAGGCGAAAGCGCUUUACUAGGCCAUUGCUGACACUCAGAGACGAAAGCUAGGGGAGCGAAUGGG